Molecule: ribosomal RNA, 249 nt
Filed under: uncultured bacterium
Lineage: Bacteria
Description: partial 16S ribosomal RNA
Source: RNAcentral
CUGCUGCCUCCCGUAGGAGUCUGGUCCGUGUCUCAGUACCAGUGUGGGGGACCUUCCUCUCAGAACCCCUACGCAUCGUCGUCUUGGUGGUCCGUUACACCGCCAACUAACUAAUGCGACGCAUGCCCAUCCGCCACCGGAAUCAACCUUUGGCACCAACAGGAUGUCCCGUCGAUGCAUUAUGCCGUAUUAGACGGAAUUUCUCCCGAUUAUCCGGCUGUGGCAGGCAGGUUGCAUACGUGUUACUCA